GAUGAACGCUGACAGAAUGCUUAACACAUGCAAGUCGAUGGGGAAGUGGUGCUUGCACCAUGGUAACCAUGGCGGACAGGUGAGUAACGCGUAAGGAACUUGCCUGCGGGACUGGGAUAACAGCAGGAAACUGCUGAUAAUACCGGAUAAGGUCAUUAAGCUGCAUAGCUUAGUGAUGAAAGGAGACGCCUGCGGAGAGCCUUGCGUCCUAUUAGCUAGUUGGAGGGGUAACGGCCCACCAAGGCGAAGAUAGGUAGCCGGCCUGAGAGGGUGGACGGCCACAAGGGGACUGAGAUACGGCCCUUACUCCUACGGGAGGCAGCAGUGGGGAAUAUUGGACAAUGGGGGCAACCCUGAUCCAGCAAUUCUGUGUGCACGAAGACGGUUUUCGGAUUGUAAAGUGCUUUCAGCAGGGAAGAAGGAAGUGACGGUACCUGCAGAAGAAGCGACGGCUAAAUACGUG
RNAcentral lists this ribosomal RNA (463 nucleotides) under uncultured bacterium. RNAcentral describes it as "partial 16S ribosomal RNA". It matches the Rfam family "Bacterial small subunit ribosomal RNA", at positions 28 to 507 of the family's 1533-position model. The record is from RNAcentral.